This 559-nucleotide ribosomal RNA is filed under the name Pestalotiopsis sp. SGSGf14. Its description in RNAcentral is "eukaryotic LSU rRNA". It matches the Rfam family "Eukaryotic large subunit ribosomal RNA", at positions 66 to 647 of the family's 3401-position model. Lineage: Eukaryota; Fungi; Ascomycota; Sordariomycetes; Amphisphaeriales; Sporocadaceae. The record is from RNAcentral. RNAcentral also lists the same sequence under 1 other name.
CAACAGGGAUUGCCUUAGUAACGGCGAGUGAAGCGGCAACAGCUCAAAUUUGAAAUCUGGCCCUCGGGUCCGAAUUGUAAUUUGUAGAGGAUGAUUUUGGUGCGGUAUCUUCCGAGUUCCUUGGAACAGGACGCCUUAGAGGGUGAGAGCCCCGUACGGUUGAAUGCCUAGCCUCUGUAAAUCUCCUUCGACGAGUCGAGUAGUUUGGGAAUGCUGCUCUAAAUGGGAGGUAAAUUUCUUCUAAAGCUAAAUAUUGGCCAGAGACCGAUAGCGCACAAGUAGAGUGAUCGAAAGAUGAAAAGCACUUUGAAAAGAGGGUUAAAUAGCACGUGAAAUUGUUGAAAGGGAAGGAUUUGUGACCAGACUUUUUCUGGGCGGAUCAUCCGGGGUUCUCUCCGGUGCACUUUGCCCAGUAAAGGCCAGUAUCGAUUUUCGGCGGCGGAUAAAAGCAGUGGGAAUGUGGCUCCCCACGGGGAGUGUUAUAGCCCAUUGUAUAAUACGCUGCUGGGGAUCGAGGUACGCGCUUCUGCAAGGAUGCUGGCGUAAUGGUUAUCAAUCA